AUUGAACGCUGGCGGCAUGCUUUACACAUGCAAGUCGAACGGUAACAGGCCUUCGGGUGCUGACGAGUGGCGAACGGGUGCGUAAUGCAUCGGAACGUACCCAGAGGUGGGGGAUAACGCAGCGAAAGCUGUGCUAAUACCGCAUGUGAUCUGAGGAUGAAAGCGGGGGACCGAGCAGCAAUGUUUGGCCUCGCGCCUUUGGAGCGGCCGAUGUCGGAUUAGCUAGUUGGUGGGGUAAAGGCCUACCAAGGCGACGAUCCGUAGCUGGUCUGAGAGGACGACCAGCCGCACUGGGACUGAGACACGGCCCAGACUCCUACGGGAGGCAGCAGUGGGGAAUUUUGGACAAUGGGCGCAAGCCUGAUCCAGCAAUGCCGCGUGCGGGAAGAAGGCCUUCGGGUUGUAAACCGCUUUUGGCAGGAACGAAACGGUGUCCGCUAAUACCGGGCGCUAAUGACGGUACCUGCAGAAUAAGCACCGGCUAACUACGUG
RNAcentral lists this ribosomal RNA (492 nucleotides) under uncultured bacterium. Its description in RNAcentral is "partial 16S ribosomal RNA". It matches the Rfam family "Bacterial small subunit ribosomal RNA", at positions 29 to 507 of the family's 1533-position model. The record is from RNAcentral.